AACUGAUACUACCUGCGGGAACCUGCGGAGGGAUCAUUACCGAGUGAAGGCCCUCUGGGUCUAACCUCCCACCCAUGUUUAUUUUACCUUGUUGCUUCGGUGGGCCCGCCGAAAGGCCGCCAGGGGCGGAAUUCCGCCCUUGGCCCGCGCCCACCGGAGACAAACCGAACUCUGUCUGAAUGUUGUAGUCUGAGUAUAUAACUAAAUUAGUGAAAACUUUUAACAACGGAUCUCUAGAUC
RNAcentral lists this unclassified non-coding RNA (240 nucleotides) under soil metagenome. Its description in RNAcentral is "partial contains 5.8S ribosomal RNA, internal transcribed spacer 2, and large subunit ribosomal RNA". The record is from RNAcentral.